GCUGGUGGCGUGCCUAACACAUGCAAGUCGAACGCGAACGUCCUUCGGGACUAGUAGAGUGGCGAACGGGUGAGUAACGCGUGGGUAAUCUGCCCUCGAGUAGGGGAUAACUUCGGGAAACUGAAGCUAAUACCGUAUAACGGUGCUUUUCUGCGGAAGAGUACACAAAGGUGGGGAUCUUCGGACCUGCCGCUUGAGGAUGAGCCCGCGUACCAUUAGGUAGUUGGUGGGGUAAUGGCCUACCAAGCCUGAGAUGGUUAGCUGGUCUGAGAGGAUGAUCAGCCACACUGGGACUGAGACACGGCCCAGACUCCUACGGGAGGCAGCAGUGGGGAAUCUUGCGCAAUGGGCGAAAGCCUGACGCAGCAACGCCGCGUGUGUGAAGAAGGCCCUCGGGUCGUAAAGCACUAUAAAGUGAGAAGAGAAGGUAGUGGUUAAUAYCCGCUGCCCCGACGGUAUCACUAGACAAAGCACCGGCUAACUCCGUGCCAGCAGCCGCGGUAAUACGGGGGGUGCAAGCGUUGUUCGGAAUUAUUGGGCGUAAAGGGCGCGUAGGCGGGUUCUUAAGUCUGAUGUGAAAUCCCUCGGCUCAACCGAGGACGUGCAUUGGAUACUGGGAACCUUGAGUCCUGGAGAGGAAAGCGGAAUUCCAAGUGUAGAGGUGAAAUUCGUAGAUAUUUGGAGGAACACCAGUGGCGAAGGCGGCUUUCUGGACAGUGACUGACGCUGAGGCGCGAAAGCGUGGGUAGCAAACAGGAUUAGAUACCCUGGUAGUCCACGCCGUAAACGAUGGGUACUAGUUGGUGCGGGUGUUGACUCCUGCGCUGACGGAGCUAACGCAUUAAGUACCCCGCCU
Molecule: ribosomal RNA, 856 nt
Filed under: uncultured delta proteobacterium
Lineage: Bacteria; Deltaproteobacteria
Description: bacterial SSU rRNA
Rfam family: Bacterial small subunit ribosomal RNA
Source: RNAcentral